This 429-nucleotide ribosomal RNA is filed under the name Actinomycetes bacterium. RNAcentral describes it as "Actinobacteria bacterium partial 16S ribosomal RNA". It matches the Rfam family "Bacterial small subunit ribosomal RNA", at positions 355 to 776 of the family's 1533-position model. The record is from RNAcentral. Lineage: Bacteria; Bacillati; Actinomycetota; Actinomycetes.
UAGGGAAUCUUCCGCAAUGGGCGAAAGCCUGACGGAGCAACGCCGCGUGAGUGAUGAAGGUCUUCGGAUCGUAAAACUCUGUUAUUAGGGAAGAACAAAUGUGUAAGUAACUAUGCACGUCUUGACGGUACCUAAUCAGAAAGCCACGGCUAACUACGUGCCAGCAGCCGCGGUAAUACGUAGGUGGCAAGCGUUAUCCGGAAUUAUUGGGCGUAAAGCGCGCGUAGGCGGUUUUUUAAGUCUGAUGUGAAAGCCCACGGCUCAACCGUGGAGGGUCAUUGGAAACUGGAAAACUUGAGUGCAUAAGAGGAGAGUGGAAUUCCAUGUGUAGCGGUGAAAUGCGCAGAGAUAUGGAGGAACACCAGUGGCGAAGGCGACUUUCUGGUCUGUAACUGACGCUGAUGUGCGAAAGCGUGGGGAUCAAACAGG